AGACGGAAACUGCGAUGGGCCUCCCAGAGAUCCAAAAAAGACUGUUCGAAACUGCAAUUACUACUGCCAGAAUGGCGGCGACUGGGACAACAAAUACUUCCCAGCGGGAACAAAGUGUCAGUAUCAGCCAGGACGCAUGGGUACCUGCGUGGCACAAGCAGACGAAUCGACCGGCUGCCAACUCGACGAGGAUGUAAGUGUCCAAAAUCCGGGACACGGAGUUCAGCAAUCAACUACAGAGGCAGAGCAGACUACAACGCCUUCCAAAAGAAAAAAGAAAAGUUCAAAAAAGUUGAAUAAGAAGACUAAGAAGCCCAAAUCUUCUACCAACGCAGCAACGGAAUCCAAAGAUAAGAAGAAAAAGAAAAAGAAACGUCAGACGCAAGCGGUGGAAUGGUAGACAGAGCCGUCUCAAGAA
This 418-nucleotide long non-coding RNA is filed under the name Dermacentor andersoni. Its description in RNAcentral is "uncharacterized LOC126540611". Lineage: Eukaryota; Metazoa; Arthropoda; Arachnida; Ixodida; Ixodidae. The record is from RNAcentral.